CAAAACCCUUGUUCAUCCAAAAACUCAAAAUUAAUUUUUUUCGGUUGCAAUUGAAGAAAAAAUUUAUCCGAACGCAUCGAAUACUAGGAAGAUAGAAUAGAUUAGUAAUUAAAAAUUUUUAUAAUACUUAUGAAUUCUCACCUUAAUUCUUAGUGAAAAAUAAUCAAGGUUGAAGAAGCUCCUCGAUCAAUAUGCUAUGUG
This 201-nucleotide long non-coding RNA is filed under the name Elaeis guineensis (African oil palm). Its description in RNAcentral is "long non-coding RNA (EGUI_LNC041873)". Lineage: Eukaryota; Viridiplantae; Streptophyta; Magnoliopsida; Arecales; Arecaceae. The record is from RNAcentral.